Molecule: long non-coding RNA, 636 nt
Filed under: Homo sapiens (human)
Lineage: Eukaryota; Metazoa; Chordata; Mammalia; Primates; Hominidae
Description: HSALNT0330745
Source: RNAcentral
UGAGGCACAGAAAGCCCAAGCUCUUGCACAAGGAUCAGAAGGGGGUAUAACCAGAAUUUGUUUCUCAGCAUCCUGACCAACAAUUAUUUUACCUACUAAACAGGGAAGCCUUUCAAAUAUAAUCCAGGGUAUCCGCUUCAUUUUACAACUAAAGAAAUGAAGGCUGGGUAAGGAUAAAGGACUCACAAAGAUCGUGUGUUUAGUUUCUGCUGGUCUAGACAUCUGGGUUCCAAAAGAAGAAUGCAUCUCCCAGGAGACAUGACAAUGAUUCCAUUCAACAGGAAGUUGAGACUGCCACCUGAACACUUUGGGCUCCUCAUGCCUCUGAAUCAACGGGCAAAGAAGAGAGUUAUAGAUCCUAACCACCCAGGAGAAAUUCGGUGGCCACUACACAAACAGACUUUUCUGACUCUGCGGCCAGGUGUUUGUAUUUAACUCCACGGUGAGGAGACUCAUCUUCUGACGGACCUAACCUAUACCAUCAAGCUCCAGCACCACAAGCAAAGACAAAAACCUUGCGGAAACUAUUUAACUAACUCCCACAAUUGCAUAAGGAUCUAAAUGAAAAUAUUUCUGCAGUGAACCAGUUCUAUUGUUUUAAAUAUCACCCUUAUUAAAGAGAGCUUUGACACUUUU